UGAGCAAUCUGCCCUUCUCUUUGGAAUAAGCGUUGGAAACGACGUCUAAUGCCGAAUACGACCUCCUUUCGCAUGAUCGGAGGUGGAAAGCUCCGGCGGAGAAGGAUGAGCUCGCGGCCUAUCAGCUUGUUGGUGAGGUAAUAGCGCACCAAGGCGAUGACGGGUAGCCGGCCUGAGAGGGUGACCGGCCACACUGGGACUGAGACACGGCCCAGACUCCUAGGGAGG
This 228-nucleotide ribosomal RNA is filed under the name uncultured bacterium. RNAcentral's name for it is "partial 16S ribosomal RNA". It matches the Rfam family "Bacterial small subunit ribosomal RNA", at positions 118 to 348 of the family's 1533-position model. The record is from RNAcentral.